GCAGAGUACAUAUGCCAUGGAUCCCAAUUGCUCAACUGAAAACUUAUCUGUCUCUUUGCAAUCACCUCAACCCUUUGAGAUAAGAUCUGCUGAUGUGUCUCAGAGAGCGGCCACACUUGAUGUUUCAGGGACUGAUGUUCUGGAGAAUGUUUCUGACUCAAUUAGCAUAACUGAGUUGUCACAAAAGGAGGAUGAUAAAGGCAAAGAUACUGUAGAAACUGAUAAUGCUUCCGAAAGUGAAUACCCUGACAAUGCAUGCAUUGCUCCUCGGAGAAGGAGUGGGCGCAACAGCAAGUUAAGCCAGAGUUUGGCUACAGUACCAGCAAGAAAGGGCAGGAGAAUAGCCAUUAAAA
Molecule: unclassified non-coding RNA, 353 nt
Filed under: Hevea brasiliensis (rubber tree)
Lineage: Eukaryota; Viridiplantae; Streptophyta; Magnoliopsida; Malpighiales; Euphorbiaceae
Source: RNAcentral